UACAGGGGGUGCAAACGUUGCUCGGAAUCAUUGGGCGUAAAGCGCACGUAGGCGGUUCGUUAUGUCGGAUGUGAAAGCCCUUGGCUUAACCGAGGAAGUGCAUCCGAAACUGGCGAGCUAGAGUACUAAAGAGGAUCGCGGAAUUCCCGGUGUAGAGGUGAAAUGCGCAGAUAUCGGGAGGAACACCAAUGGCGAAGGCAGCUCGCUGGGACGGUACUGACGCUGAGGCGCGAAAGCGUGGGGAGCAAACAGG
This 253-nucleotide ribosomal RNA is filed under the name uncultured bacterium. Its description in RNAcentral is "partial 16S ribosomal RNA". It matches the Rfam family "Bacterial small subunit ribosomal RNA", at positions 524 to 776 of the family's 1533-position model. The record is from RNAcentral.